Molecule: transfer RNA, 73 nt
Filed under: Erinaceus europaeus (western European hedgehog)
Lineage: Eukaryota; Metazoa; Chordata; Mammalia; Eulipotyphla; Erinaceidae
Rfam family: tRNA
About the family: Transfer RNA (tRNA) molecules are approximately 80 nucleotides in length. Their secondary structure includes four short double-helical elements and three loops (D, anti-codon, and T loops).
Source: Rfam by way of RNAcentral
AGGGAAAUAGUUCAGCUGGUAGAGCAUAAGAUUUCCAUGCCGAAUGUUUCUAGUUCGAUUCUUGUUGUCCCUU